GGGGAACUAAACGUGAUUCUCUUUUGGAUUAAAUAAAAAUAAAGAAACUUUGGUAGGUACAUGACCACGAAUGUAGGAAUGAACCACUAACUAUAGGAGAAAGUACAUAUUUUACAUUUAUAAGGACCGCGAUUAUUGGUCCACGUUAUUUCUACAAAGACCACGAAUAUUGGUCUACGACCACGAACAGUAAAGUGUGUCUUGCUCCAUCGAACGUAAACCCAACACUGACGAUUGCAAUUCAUCACGUGUCAGAAUCCAUUUUCUGCACGUGCAGCGAAUGCCACGUUCUGUUUUCCGCGACGCAUGUGGCAUUUUUAUGAACUGUUCAUGUUACAUGAACCGAAACAAUGUUUGGUUUUUAUUACCUCUCCUCCACACCCGUACUACGGACAAGGUUCUAUUCAUAUUCAUUGGAAUGGAGUUUAUUUUCAGUCCAUCAUUAAGCCAAAGGCCAUGUCAGAGGAGAGAAGCUAGUUGCAUUCAAUGACGAGAACCUUGUCUGCUGCGUUAAUCAUGGACCCAGUAUGAUACAUGAUUUAGGUUUUCAGAAAUCCCCGUGCAGCCUGACUUGCUCGUGGCGGAGUAUAAGAGAUUCCCCUCCAAGGCAGGAUACACAGUAUUCUAGCAAGAUCACGUGGACCAAUCAGGUCUCAUCAUGGAUAACACGGAGGUAUGAUAAUGGCUUGUACAUUUUUUCAACAUCCUUAAGAGGUUGUACAUAAUAUUGAUAUUCUCAUAUCAGAAAUAAACGAUAUAUGUAUUCUAUAACUAGAAUAAUAAACCACGAGGGGCGCAGAAGCAAAUGGUUUAUUCUUCUUGCAGUGUUUUAUUGUACGAUAAACAAGAACCACGAGUCGUGUAUUUCUUAAAUAUUGAACAUUAAGUAAAAAAUAAUGGGUUAUGUUAUCACGGACAUUAAUCAGACGAACAAAAGAACCUUCCGUUAUAAAAAAUGUUCAGUAGUGUUUUAACCUUGAGGGAGGUUGUACGUUAGUGGAUGCUGGAACUCAGUUAUUAUUGCACUAUUGCAUGGCGAUGUGAGAAUGUCCCACGUGCAGAGAAUUCACAUAGCCAAUCAGGCUCAAUCAGGUUAGGUCAACAGUGCACCACCCAACAUCUGACGAACACAUUCACGUGAAUCACGAUUGUAAGCAAGCAUUUGCUGAUCAUCCUUUUUCAGGAAUAGAGUACGUUGACGGUGGAGAUAGUCGAUUUCACCUUUCGUACGGACAUCGUGCUUUUCUGUAUUCGGGAUGGAUCGUUAUAUCGCUUUAUAA
This is a long non-coding RNA of Haliotis rufescens (red abalone), 1280 nucleotides long. RefSeq lists it as uncharacterized. The transcript has 3 exons. The record is from RefSeq and is a predicted model, not a curated record. NCBI's taxonomy places the organism in Eukaryota, Metazoa, Mollusca, Gastropoda, Lepetellida, Haliotidae.